RNAcentral lists this ribosomal RNA (224 nucleotides) under uncultured bacterium. Its description in RNAcentral is "partial 16S ribosomal RNA". It matches the Rfam family "Bacterial small subunit ribosomal RNA", at positions 15 to 230 of the family's 1533-position model. The record is from RNAcentral.
GAUCAUGGCUCAGGAUGGACGCUAGCUACAGGCUUAACACAUGCAAGUCGCGGGGCAGCAUGAAGUCAGCUUGCUGACUUUGAUGGCGACCGGCGCACGGGUGAGUAACGCGUAUCCAACCUGCCUGUUACCACGGCACAGUCCGUCGAAAGGCGGAUUAAUGCCGUAUGUGGUCUUGAAAGGGCAUCUGAUCAUGACUAAAGGUUCAGCGGUAACGGAUGGGG